GAGUGGCACACUGCUCAGUAACACGUAGCUAACCUACCCUUAGGACGUGGAUACCCCCGAGAAAUUGGGGUUAAUCCGCGAUAGAUGUAAUGUCCUGGAAUGGUAUUACGUCUAAAGGUAUUUCAUACAUGUUUGAAAUAUGCCUAAGGAUGGGGCUGCGGCCGAUCAGGCUGUUGGUGAGGUAAUGGCUCACCAAACCUUUGACCGGUACGGGCCAUGAGAGUGGUAGCCCGGAGAUGGACACUGAGACAAGGGUCCAGGCCCUAAGGGGCGCAGCAACCGCGAAACCUCCACAAUGCACUCACGUGCGAUGGGGCUAUCUCGAGUGCCACCUGAUGAAGGUGGCUUUUCCUUGGUCUUCAAAGCCUUGGGAAUAAGAGGGGGGCAAGACUGGUGUCAGCCGCCGCGGUAACACCAGCCCCUCGAGUGGUGGGGAUGAUUAUUUGGCCUAAAGCGUCCGUAGCCGGCCGUGAAAGUCUUCCGUUAAAUCCAGCGUCUCAAGCGUUGGACCGCGGGAGAUACUACAUGGCUAGAGAGUGGGAGAGGUCAGCGGUAUUCUGGGGGUAGGGGCGAAAUCCUUUGAUCCCCGGAGGACCACCAGUGGCGAAGGCUGCUGACUAGAACACGUCUGACGGUCAGGGACGAAAGCUGGGGUAGCGAACCGGAUUAGAUACCCGGGUAGUCCCAGCCGUAAACGAUGCAUGCUAGGUGUUGGGUUGGCCACGAGCCACCCCAGUGCCGCAGGGAAGCCGUUAAGCAUGCCGCCUGGGAAGUACGAUCGCAAGAUUGAAACUUAAAGGAAUUGGCGGGGGAGCACCACCAGGCGUGAAGCCUGCGGUUUAAUUGGAUUCAACGCCGGG
Molecule: ribosomal RNA, 860 nt
Filed under: uncultured archaeon
Lineage: Archaea
Description: bacterial SSU rRNA
Rfam family: Archaeal small subunit ribosomal RNA
Source: RNAcentral